Molecule: non-coding RNA, 112 nt
Filed under: Staphylococcus aureus
Lineage: Bacteria; Bacillati; Bacillota; Bacilli; Caryophanales; Staphylococcaceae
Rfam family: S. aureus tsr24 small RNA
Source: RNAcentral
AAAUUAUACGAAGGGACCCAACACAGAAAAUUCAUUUUAUUGAAUUUUACAUUUAUGUGCAAGUUGGGCAAAGUGUCUUAUCAACAAAGGGUGAAUAACUUGUGGAUAAAAG